UAGAACCUUGAAGAAAUUGGUCCUAUUCCU
This 30-nucleotide non-coding RNA is filed under the name Mus musculus (house mouse). The record is from RNAcentral. Lineage: Eukaryota; Metazoa; Chordata; Mammalia; Rodentia; Muridae.